AUACGUAGGGGGCGAGCGUUGUCCGGAUUUAUUGGGCGUAAAGAGCUCGUAGGCGGUUUCGUAAGUCGGCGGUGAAAGCUUGGGACUCAACUCCAAGAGGUCCGUCGAUACUGCGAUGACUUGAGUCCGGUAGAGGAGUGUGGAACUCCUGGUGUAGCGGUGAAAUGCGCAGAUAUCAGGAAGAACACCGGUGGCGAAGGCGGCACUCUGGGCCGGUACUGACGCUGAGGAGCGAAAGCUAGGGGAGCAAACAGGAUUAGAUACCCCGGUAGUCC
RNAcentral lists this ribosomal RNA (275 nucleotides) under uncultured bacterium. Its description in RNAcentral is "partial 16S ribosomal RNA". It matches the Rfam family "Bacterial small subunit ribosomal RNA", at positions 523 to 796 of the family's 1533-position model. The record is from RNAcentral.